Molecule: ribosomal RNA, 188 nt
Filed under: uncultured bacterium
Lineage: Bacteria
Description: partial 16S ribosomal RNA
Rfam family: Bacterial small subunit ribosomal RNA
Source: RNAcentral
UCGACUACAUGAAGCUGGAAUCGCUAGUAAUCGCGAAUCAGAAUGUCGCGGUGAAUACGUUCCCGGGUCUUGUACACACCGCCCGUCACACCAUGGAGUUGGGAAUGCCCGAAGCCGGUGACCUAACCGAAAGGGAGGAGCCGUCGAAGGCAGGCUUGAUAACUGGGGUGAAGUCGUAACAAGGUAGC